Molecule: unclassified non-coding RNA, 399 nt
Filed under: soil metagenome
Description: partial contains 5.8S ribosomal RNA, internal transcribed spacer 2, and large subunit ribosomal RNA
Rfam family: 5.8S ribosomal RNA (bases 1-122)
Source: RNAcentral
GAUGAAGAACGUAGCGAAAUGCGAUACUUGGUGUGAAUUGCAGAAUCCUGUGAACCAUCGAGUCUUUGAACGCAAGUUGCGCCUCAAGCCAUUAGGUUGAGGGCACGUCUGCCUGGGCGUCACAUAUCGUUGCCUGAUGCCAGUUUCCUCGUGAUGGGUGACUGUGCAGGGCGAAUGAUGGCUUCCCGUGAGCAUUGUUGCCUCAUGGUUGGUUGAAAAUUGAGUCCUUGGUAGGGAGCGCCGUGAUAGAUGGUGGUUGAGUGACGAACGAGACCCAAUCAUGUGAGACCCCUACCGAAUUUGGCCUUCAUGACCCACAUGCGUCUUUGGAACGCUCAUGACGAGACCUCAGGUCAGGCGGGGCUACCCGCUGAGUUUAAGCAUAUCAUAAGCGGAGGA